Molecule: ribosomal RNA, 589 nt
Filed under: uncultured bacterium
Lineage: Bacteria
Description: bacterial SSU rRNA
Rfam family: Bacterial small subunit ribosomal RNA
Source: RNAcentral
UACUCCUACGGGAGGCAGCAGUGGGGAAUAUUGCGCAAUGGGGGGAACCCUGACGCAGCCAUGCCGCGUGAAUGAAGCAGGCCUUCGGGUUGUAAAGUUCUUUCGGUAUUGAGGAAGGUUGAUGUGUUAAUAGCACAUCAAAUUGACGUUAAAUACAGAAGAAGCACCGGCUAACUCCGUGCCAGCAGCCGCGGUAAUACGGAGGGUGCGAGCGUUAAUCGGAAUAACUGGGCGUAAAGGGCACGCAGGCGGUUAUUUAAGUGAGGUGUGAAAGCCCCGGGCUUAACCUGGGAAUUGCAUUUCAGACUGGGUAACUAGAGUACUUUAGGGAGGGGUAGAAUUCCACGUGUAGCGGUGAAAUGCGUAGAGAUGUGGAGGAAUACCGAAGGCGAAGGCAGCCCCUUGGGAAUGUACUGACGCUCAUGUGCGAAAGCGUGGGGAGCAAACAGGAUUAGAUACCCUGGUAGUCCACGCUGUAAACGCUGUCGAUUUGGGGGUUGGGGUUUAACUCUGGCGCCCGUAGCUAACGUGAUAAAUCGACCGCCUGGGGAGUACGGCCGCAAGGUUAAAACUCAAAUGAAUUGACGGA